RNAcentral lists this long non-coding RNA (1032 nucleotides) under Salvia miltiorrhiza (redroot sage). RNAcentral's name for it is "long non-coding RNA (SMIL_LNC008182)". Lineage: Eukaryota; Viridiplantae; Streptophyta; Magnoliopsida; Lamiales; Lamiaceae. The record is from RNAcentral.
AGCAGUUCAACGGCUAUAUUUUCCAACUAAUUUUUAAAAAUUGUAACUGACCGCAUUAUAUAAAGAACCAGUUUCACAUCAUCUAAUUUACCGUUAUUUUUCUAACGGAAUAUUCUUAAUAUUUAACGGUAGUUUUAUAUGAAACCACAUUUUAUAGCAGUUACUAUCUCUCUCACACGAUGAACAACAGUUUUCUCUCCCUCUUCGACACGGUUAUCUCAGCAUAACAGUUACUAACCGCCUCAACAUUCCCGCCACUUCCCUUAUAAUUCCCCAACUUUCAAUUCCAUUUCUCCUUUUUUCCGACCCCAUCAAUUCCAUUCCGAUCAACAGAAAAAAACUACUCCACUGUAACACAAACGCCAACAAAGCCCGCCGCCGCGGUGCUUGGUUAACGCCAAGCGUCGCCACCACCGCGGCCGCCGCCGGCCGCCCACACAAAAAUGGCGGACCAAAUUUCCGUUCCUCCACAACACAAUCACCAACACGCCACCGGCGCGAUUUCCAGCGUAGAACAGUUACUGUUUCUCGACGACGAUGACGGCGGCCGCGGCAACCCUUUGCUCGACGACGUCGUAAAUGGAAUGAUCGAGGAGAUGAGCGGCGACGCAAAUUACGGCACUAAUUCUCCUCAAUUUUGCUCUGUUCAUGAAAACGCCGUCAGCAACCAAUAGAGCAACGAUUAUUUUCAAUUUCAUAAAUCACUAUAAUCAAUUGCAAACUACCGAUACUGCACUAUAUUAGAUUGUUAAUUUUCAAUUGCACUAUAUACUAACGCCGUCAGCAUCCUUAAUAGUUUAUUUUCUUUCUCUUUCUCACGGUUACAAUAGAGCAACGAUUAUUUCUCAAAAAUCAAUUUGCUCUCCAUCCAUUUAUGCAUCAGUAUGCAGUUGUUUGCCAAUUGAAGCAUAUUUAAUAAUGGGAGAAGAAGUAUAGAUAAAGAGUACGAGCCCAGAUCUGAGAGCGACAAUAUGGAUGAUGCAUUUGGGAAUGAUUAAGAUGACAAACCGCUGAGGAAGAAGAGAUCUAUCA